Molecule: unclassified non-coding RNA, 234 nt
Filed under: Hevea brasiliensis (rubber tree)
Lineage: Eukaryota; Viridiplantae; Streptophyta; Magnoliopsida; Malpighiales; Euphorbiaceae
Source: RNAcentral
ACAUUCAGUGGAAAUCUUGGCGAGUAUGUUUUGGGAAUAGGGAAAGAAUUUAUUUUUUCGUUAAAUGUUUGAUCUAAUCCUUUCUUUUGAAUCAUGAUCUCCGUUUAUGUAUUAUCCUUAUUCAUGUGGUUUUGGUCGGUAGGUUGUUGCUCCCCACAGUUGUGAAUGGUGAAUUUGGAUAUGCGAACCAAUUAAUGUAGUUUGUUCCCAAUGCAUUGUCUAGUAAUAUGUGCG